RNAcentral lists this ribosomal RNA (633 nucleotides) under uncultured fungus. RNAcentral describes it as "eukaryotic LSU rRNA". It matches the Rfam family "Eukaryotic large subunit ribosomal RNA", at positions 24 to 664 of the family's 3401-position model. The record is from RNAcentral. Lineage: Eukaryota; Fungi.
CCCGCUGAACUUAAGCAUAUCAAUAAGCGGAGGAAAAGAAACCAACAGGGAUUGCCUCAGUAACGGCGAGUGAAGCGGCAACAGCUCAAAUUUGAAAUCUGGCCCCCCACAGGGUCCCGAGUUGUAAUUUGUAGAGGAGAUCUUCGGGUUUGGCCCCGGCCUAAGUUCCUUGGAACAGGACGUCACAGAGGGUGAGAAUCCCGUAUGUGGCUGGAAGUCUAUGCCCACGUGAAGCUCCUUCGACGAGUCGAGUUGUUUGGGAAUGCAGCUCAAAAUGGGUGGUAAGUUUCAUCUAAAGCUAAAUACCGGCGGGAGACCGAUAGCGCACAAGUAGAGUGAUCGAAAGAUGAAAAGCACUUCGGAAAGAGAGUUAAAAAGUACGUGAAAUUGUUGAAAGGGAAGCGCUUGCAACCAGACUUGCCCUCGGCUGAUCAACCGGUGUUCCUCACCGGUGCACUCGGUCGUGGUCAGGCCAGCAUCGGUCUGGGCGGUUGGAGAAAGACCCUGUGGAAUGUGGCUCCCUUCGGGGAGUGUUAUAGCCCAGGGUGUCAUGCAGCCAGCCUGGACCGAGGACCGCGCCUUCGGGCUAGGAUGCUGGCAUAAUGGUUGUAAGCGACCCGUCUUGAAACACGG